CCUACGGGUGGCAGCAGUGGGGGAUAUUGCACAAUGGGGGAAACCCUGAUGCAGCGACGCCGCGUGUGGGAAGACGGUCCUCUGGAUUGUAAACCACUGUCCCCAGGGACGAAGAUGACGGUACCUGGGGCGGAAGCUCCGGCUAACUACGUGCCAGCAGCCGCGGUAAUACGUAGGGAGCGAGCGUUGUCCGUAAUUACUGGGUGAAAAGGGAGCGUAGGCGGGACUGCAAGUUGGGGGUAAAAUCUACCGGCGCAACCGGUAGCCGCACUCAAAACUGCAGUUCUUGAGUGAAGUAGAGGCAGGCGGAAUUCCUAGUGUAGCGGUGAAAUGCGUAGAUAUUAGGAGGAACACCAGUGGCGAAGGCGGCCUGCUGGGCUUUUACUGACGCUGAGGCUCGAAAGUGUGGGGAGCAAACAGGAUUAGAUACCCCUGUAGUC
RNAcentral lists this ribosomal RNA (440 nucleotides) under uncultured bacterium. RNAcentral's name for it is "partial 16S ribosomal RNA". It matches the Rfam family "Bacterial small subunit ribosomal RNA", at positions 338 to 795 of the family's 1533-position model. The record is from RNAcentral.